Molecule: ribosomal RNA, 430 nt
Filed under: uncultured bacterium
Lineage: Bacteria
Description: partial 16S ribosomal RNA
Rfam family: Bacterial small subunit ribosomal RNA
Source: RNAcentral
GUGGGGAAUAUUGCACAAUGGGCGAAAGCCUGAUGCAGCAACGCCGCGUGAGGGACGACGGCCUUCGGGUUGUAAACCUCUUUUAGUAGGGAAGAAGCGAAAGUGACGGUACCUGCAGAAAAAGCACCGGCUAACUACGUGCCAGCAGCCGCGGUAAUACGUAGGGUGCAAGCGUUAUCCGGAAUUAUUGGGCGUAAAGAGCUCGUAGGCGGUCUGUCGCGUCUGCUGUUAAAACUGGAGGCUCAACCUCCAGCCUGCAGUGGGUACGGGCAGACUAGAGUGCGGUAGGGGAGAUUGGAAUUCCGGGUGUAGCGGUGGAAUGCGCAGAUAUCAGGAGGAACACCGAUGGCGAAGGCAGAUCUCUGGGCCGUAACUGACGCUGAGGAGCGAAAGCGUGGGGAGCGAACAGGAUUAGAAACCCUGGUAGUCC